GCAAAGGAGAAGAAAAGAGAAACCCCACUUACACGGAAAAUGCCUCCUAAUCCCCCUAAAUCAUCCGCCGCCUCCCAUCGCAUAACCCACUCCUCCACCGUGCCGGAGUUUUUCAAGCGCCAGAUUCAAACACGCGCUACCGCUGUUCCUGACGCGGUGGCGCGUUACCACAACCACGCUGUUUCCAUGAACCAGUGCUGCUCCGCCGUCGUUCAAGAGAUCGAUGCCCCGGUCUCCACCGUGUGGUCCGUCGUCCGCCGCUUCGACAACCCGCAAGCGUACAAGCACUUCGUCAAGAGCUGUGACGUCAUCGUCGG
RNAcentral lists this long non-coding RNA (317 nucleotides) under Cucumis sativus (cucumber). RNAcentral describes it as "long non-coding RNA (CSAT_LNC001601)". The record is from RNAcentral. Lineage: Eukaryota; Viridiplantae; Streptophyta; Magnoliopsida; Cucurbitales; Cucurbitaceae.